UACAUAGGGUGCGAGCGUUAAUCGGAAUUACUGGGCGUAAAGCGUACGCAGGCGGCUAUGCAAGACAGGUGUGAAAUCCCCGGGCUUAACCUGGGAACUGCAUUUGUGACUGCAUAGCUAGAGUUUGUCAGAGGGGGGUGGAAUUCCACGUGUAGCAGUGAAAUGCGUAGAGAUGUGGAGGAACACCGAUGGCGAAGGCAGCCCCCUGGGACCUGACUGACGCUCAUGUACGAAAGCGUGGGGAGCAAACAGG
RNAcentral lists this ribosomal RNA (253 nucleotides) under uncultured bacterium. RNAcentral's name for it is "partial 16S ribosomal RNA". It matches the Rfam family "Bacterial small subunit ribosomal RNA", at positions 524 to 776 of the family's 1533-position model. The record is from RNAcentral.